GACGAACGCUGGCGGCGUGCUUAACACAUGCAAGUCGAACGGAAAGGCCCUGCUUUUGUGGGGUGCUCGAGUGGCGAACGGGUGAGUAACACGUGAGUAACCUGCCCUUGACUUUGGGAUAACUUCAGGAAACUGGGGUAAUAACGGAUAGGGGGUCCUGGUUGAUGGUUGGGGGUGGAAAGGUUCGGCGGUUGGGGAUGGACUCGCGGCUUAUCAGGUUGUUGGUGGGGUAGUGGCUUACCAAGGCUUUGACGGGUAGCCGGCCUGAGAGGGUGACCGGCCACAUUGGGACUGAGAUACGGCCCAGACUCCUACGGGAGGCAGCAGUGGGGAAUAUUGCACAAUGGGCGGAAGCCUGAUGCAGCAACGCCGCGUGCGGGAUGACGGCCUUCGGGUUGUAAACCGCUUUCGCCUGUGACGAAGCGUGAGUGACGGUAAUGGGUAAAGAAGCACCGGCUAACUACGUG
This 467-nucleotide ribosomal RNA is filed under the name uncultured bacterium. RNAcentral's name for it is "partial 16S ribosomal RNA". It matches the Rfam family "Bacterial small subunit ribosomal RNA", at positions 28 to 507 of the family's 1533-position model. The record is from RNAcentral.